AGCCAACGCCUAUUGUAUAGCUACACUCGAAGAUGUCUUUUUCUGUCUGUGAAAACAUUUGCACAAACAAAAGUUAAUUCUUACCUGCCAAAUUACCUGCAAAUUUCAACAGAGAACAUGAAUAAUAACAGCUGAAAAUAGUCGAACAGAGUUUUCCUUACAAACUGCCAACAAGCUGAUGAGCUUGUUGCCAAUUCUAAUUUGGCCCCUAAUCCUUAUUUAAAAAAAUUAUUGUGUAAUUAAUAAAUUAAAUUUAUUUGUAACUAACGUGAACUUAGGCAGGAACAUCAGUAAAUUGUCUGUAGAGGUCUCAACCAGUACAGUAGAACCCAGCCCGACGCUAAUAUAGCUCAAUUUUUCUCAUUCUGAACAAUUUUGAAAAUUUAAAUUAAAUUCUCGGCAAAGCAUAAAAAAUUCAAUUUUAAAACUUAAACCCAUGCGGCGUCCGUUUAAGCUCCAGUGUGCCACAGUUGGGGCUGGUCAGCAUCCACAUCGUGCAACAGUUGUUGUUGUUGGCUUUGUCGCAAAAAGCAAAUUGCCAGACAGCAGCAGCUAAAAAGAUGCAAAAAGUGAGAGAAAACGUUUUGCAGGGCGCCGGCGAUAAGGAAUUUAAUUUUAUGCGCACUGGCGCCUCUGGCCAACUAAACACAGUUGCAGAUACAGAUUCAGUUGCAGUGGCAGUUGCAGUUGCAGUU
Drosophila montana is the source of this 695-nucleotide long non-coding RNA. RefSeq lists it as uncharacterized. Lineage: Eukaryota; Metazoa; Arthropoda; Insecta; Diptera; Drosophilidae. The record is from RefSeq and is a predicted model, not a curated record. The transcript has 3 exons.